This 337-nucleotide ribosomal RNA is filed under the name Anelosimus lamarcki. Its description in RNAcentral is "partial 16S ribosomal RNA". The record is from RNAcentral. Lineage: Eukaryota; Metazoa; Arthropoda; Arachnida; Araneae; Theridiidae.
UUUGUUUUUUAAUUAAAAACUAGAAUGAAAGAUUUUACAUUUUAAUUUCUUUAUUAAAUAUAAUAUACUAACUUAUAUUAAAUAUAAAAAUAUAUUUAUAAAAUAAAAAGACGACAAGACCCUAUUAAAUUUUACUUAUUGUUUAGCUGGGGCAGCUUUUUAAAUAAAACUUUAAAAUUUAUAAUAUAAUAAUAUAUCUAUACUAAAAUUAAAAAAUCUAUUAUAAAUAAAUUAAUCUAAUUACUAUAGGGAUAACAGCGUUAUAUUUUUUUCAAGUUCAUAUUUAAAAAAAUCAUUGCGACCUCGAUGUUGAAUUAUAUUUCUUUAUUAAUGCAAU